GGGUGACUAGUGGCAGAGUGAGGGAGGGAAGGGGUGACUAGUGACAGAGUGAGGGGAUGACUGGUGACAGAGUGAGGGAGGGGUGACUGUCACUAGUCACCCCAUCCCUCUCUCUGUCACUAGUUACUCCCUCCCUAACUCUGUCACUGUGUCACCCGCUCCCUCACUCUGUCACUAGUCACCCCCUUACUCUGUCACUGUGUUACCCCCUCCCUCUGUCACUAGUCACCCC
This is a non-coding RNA of Pelobates cultripes (western spadefoot toad), 232 nucleotides long. The record is from the annotation of a GenBank genome assembly. Lineage: Eukaryota; Metazoa; Chordata; Amphibia; Anura; Pelobatidae.